UACGUAGGCAGCGAGCGUUGUUCGGAGUUACUGGGCGUAAAGGGUGCGUAGGCGGGUCUUUAAGUCAGGGGUGAAAUCCUGGAGCUCAACUCCAGAACUGCCUUUGAUACUGAAGAUCUUGAGUUCGGGAGAGGUGAGUGGAACUGCGAGUGUAGAGGUGAAAUUCGUAGAUAUUCGCAAGAACACCAGUGGCGAAGGCGGCUCACUGGCCCGAUACUGACGCUGAGGCACGAAAGCGUGGGGAGCAAACAGGG
This 254-nucleotide ribosomal RNA is filed under the name uncultured bacterium. RNAcentral describes it as "partial 16S ribosomal RNA". It matches the Rfam family "Bacterial small subunit ribosomal RNA", at positions 524 to 777 of the family's 1533-position model. The record is from RNAcentral.